Molecule: long non-coding RNA, 1159 nt
Filed under: Salmo salar (Atlantic salmon)
Lineage: Eukaryota; Metazoa; Chordata; Actinopteri; Salmoniformes; Salmonidae
Description: lncRNA (ENSSSAG00000098445.1)
Source: RNAcentral
CUCCUCUCUCUCUCUGUCUCUCUCUCCUGUGAUCUAGUGCCUCAGACAACAUUGUGGAAUGCACAAGGAGAAUAUAAUCCACAUCCCAUUCAGGUAGUGAUCAGAUUGUCAUGCCAGACUAGUGGGAGUCAGUAUGCGACCCAAAUUGCACCCUAUUCCCUACAUAGUGCACUACGUUUGACCAGACCCCAAUGGGCCCAGUAACACAAACACUGUCAGCUCAUCUGGCCCUGUAACGCAAUCACUGUCAGCUCAUCUGGUCCCUGUAACGCAGUCACUGUCAGCUCAUCUGGGCCCUGUAACGCAAUCACUGUCAGCUCAUCUGGGCCCUGUAACGCAAUCACUGUCAGCUCAUCUGGGCCCUGUAACGCAAACACUGUCAGCUCAUCUGGGCCCUGUAACGCAAUCACUGUCAGCUCAUCUGGGCCCUGUAACGCAAACACUGUCAGCUCAUCUGGGCCCUGUAACGCAAUCACUGUCAGCUCAUCUGGGCCCUGUAACGCAGUCACUGUCAGCUCAUCUGGGCCCUGUAACGCAAACACUGUCAGCUCAUCUGGGCCCUGUAACGCAGUCACUGUCAGCUCAUCUGGGCCCUGUACCGCAGUCACUGUCAGCUCAUCUGGGCCCUGUAACGCAAACACUGUCAGCUCAUCUGGGCCCUGUAACGCAAUCACUGUCAGCUCAUCUGGGCCCUGUAACGCAAUCACUGUCAGCUCAUCUGGGCCCAGGUAGAGAUGAGUAAAUACAACUUGUGGAGUGAGGGACUGAAAUAAUGUGUUGCUCUGUAGUCAAUGUAAUUAGAUGUUUAUCUGGAGUUAAUUUAAUUAGAUGUUUAUCUCAAGUGAAUUUAUACCUGAAUCAUCUACAGGGAGAGAGGGAGGAGGGGACAGGUGGAGAGAGAGAUGGAUGGAUGAGCAGGGAGAGAGGGAUAGAGAUAGGGAUGGUUGGAGGUGGAGAGAGGGAAGUAGAGAGACUGAUGGAGGGAGGGGUGUAUGAGCAGGGAGAGCCGGGUAGAGAUAGGGAUGGAUGGAGGUGGAGAGAGGGGGGUAGAGAGACUGAUGGAGGGAGGGGUGUAUAGAUGUAUGAGCAGGGAGAGCCGGGUAGAGAUAGGGAUGGAUGGAGGUGGAGAGAGGGGGGUAGAGAGACUGACGGAGGGAGG